AGGGUUUGAUUAUGGCUCAGAUUGAACGCUGGCGGUAUGCUUAACACAUGCAAGUCGAACGGAAACGAUACUAGCUUGCUAGUAGGCGUCGAGUGGCGGACGGGUGAGUAACGCGUAGGAAUCUGCCUGAUAGUGGGGGAUAGCCCGGAGAAAUUCGGAUUAAUACCGCAUAAUCUAUUCGUAGUAAAGUGGGGGACUUUCGAGCCUCACGCUAUCAGAUGAGCCUGCGUAAGAUUAGCUUGUUGGUAGGGUAAAAGCCUACCAAGGCGACGAUCUUUAGCUGGUCUGAGAGGAUGAUCAGCCACAUCGGGACUGAGACACGGCCCGAACUCCUACGGGAGGCAGCAGUGGGGAAUAUUGGACAAUGGGGGCAACCCUGAUCCAGCAAUACCGCGUGUGUGAAGAAGGCCUGAGGGUUGUAAAGCACUUUCAAUUGUGAAGAAAAGUUAACGGUUAAUAACCGUUAGCCUUGACGUUAACUUUAGAAGAAGCACCGGCUAACUCCGUGCCAGCCGCCGCGGUAAUUCA
Molecule: ribosomal RNA, 528 nt
Filed under: uncultured bacterium
Lineage: Bacteria
Description: bacterial SSU rRNA
Rfam family: Bacterial small subunit ribosomal RNA
Source: RNAcentral